GAUGAACGCUGGCGGCGUGCCUAAUACAUGCAAGUCGAGCGAACAGACGAGGAGCUUGCUCCUCUGACGUUAGCGGCGGACGGGUGAGUAACACGUGGAUAACCUACCUAUAAGACUGGGAUAACUUCGGGAAACCGGAGCUAAUACCGGAUAAUAUAUUGAACCGCAUGGUUCAAUAGUGAAAGACGGUUUUGCUGUCACUUAUAGAUGGAUCCGCGCCGCAUUAGCUAGUUGGUAAGGUAACGGCUUACCAAGGCAACGAUGCGUAGCCGACCUGAGAGGCUGAUCGGCCACACUGGAACUGAGACACGGUCCAGACUCCUACGGGAGGCAGCAGUAGGGAAUCUUCCGCAAUGGGCGAAAGCCUGACGGAGCCACGCCGCGUGAGUGAUGAAGGUCUUCGGAUCGUAAAACUCUGUUAUUAGGGAAGAACAAAUGUGUAAGUAACUAUGCACGUCUUGACGGUACCUAAUCAGAAAGCCACGGCUAACUACGUG
This 497-nucleotide ribosomal RNA is filed under the name uncultured bacterium. RNAcentral describes it as "partial 16S ribosomal RNA". It matches the Rfam family "Bacterial small subunit ribosomal RNA", at positions 28 to 507 of the family's 1533-position model. The record is from RNAcentral.